Molecule: ribosomal RNA, 484 nt
Filed under: uncultured bacterium
Lineage: Bacteria
Description: bacterial SSU rRNA
Rfam family: Bacterial small subunit ribosomal RNA
Source: RNAcentral
GCUAGGAUGAACGCUGGCGGCGUGCUUAACACAUGCAAGUCGAACGGAGUUACAUGAAACCUAGUGAUUGUAAACUUAGUGGCGGACGGGCGAGUAACGCGUGGGUAACCUGCCUUAUACCGGGGGACAACAGUUAGAAAUGACUGCUAAUACCGCAUAAGCGCACGGUGUCGCAUGACACAGUGUGAAAAACUCCGGUGGUAUAAGAUGGACCCGCGUCUGAUUAGCCAGUUGGUGAGGUAACGGCCCACCAAAGCAACGAUCAGUAGCCGGCCUGAGAGGGUGAACGGCCACAUUGGGACUGAGACACGGCCCAAACUCCUACGGGAGGCAGCAGUGGGGAAUAUUGGACAAUGGGGGAAACCCUGAUCCAGCCGACGCCGCGUGAGUGAAGAAGUAUUUCGGUAUGUGAAGCUCUAUCAGCAAGGAAGAUAAUGACGGUACUUGACUAAGAAGCCCCGGCUAACUACGUGCCAGCCGCCGC